This is a long non-coding RNA of Dermacentor andersoni, 614 nucleotides long. RefSeq lists it as uncharacterized. The record is from RefSeq and is a predicted model, not a curated record. NCBI's taxonomy places the organism in Eukaryota, Metazoa, Arthropoda, Arachnida, Ixodida, Ixodidae.
CAUUCUUUCGGUUAAAGGCAGCGGAAGGGUCAACGUAGGCCUCGAACGAAGGCGGAACUUUGUGCCCCAUAAGACGAUGCCGCAAGUACGGCUUGGCUUACAUGGCUUGGAGGCGACAAGAAGCAACGAGAUAACACCAAGCGGCGAAAGACGGAAUGUCGACGUCUGCGAGAUAGUGAGCAGAACGCGGUGAGCAGACGGCUCGUUAGUACCUUCAGAGACAAGCCUAUAGAUCGACAACCAUUGCCAUUGGUGAUGUCGGCUGCCUAGGCGUAAAGAAACGCGUCGAUCUUGGUGCUCGAAAGAGAUGAUCCGGAUUCGGUGUGGACCUGGUAUUUUGCUGCGGUUCUGCGACGCCUUCUUAUACGUGCUGCAAGGCCUCACCCUGGUACUUCUCGUGGUCACUGAAGUCAUGCGAUGAUUGCAGCUGUUUCCUCCCGGCAAGCUGUCGUGCUCUGAAGCCAGCCGAAACAAUAAAGGUACCUGCAGAUGUUAACAUGAGCCAUUCCAUGUUCAUCAACACCUUUGUGAACACAAGUCCAUUGAAUAUCCUACCGAGACACGGAAAGAAGAGGUCGAACAAUCACGGUGCCGCUAUACACCCCCUCCUCAUG